This 916-nucleotide ribosomal RNA is filed under the name uncultured bacterium. RNAcentral describes it as "bacterial SSU rRNA". It matches the Rfam family "Bacterial small subunit ribosomal RNA", at positions 470 to 1399 of the family's 1533-position model. The record is from RNAcentral.
UGACGGUACUUGAUGAAUAAGCUCCGGCUAACUACGUGCCAGCAGCCGCGGUAAUACGUAGGUAGCGAGCGUUAUCCGGAAUUAUUGGGCGUAAAGGGUGCGUAGGCGGCCUGUUAAGUUUAUGGUGAAAGCGUGGGGCUCAACCCCAUAAAGCCAUAGAUACUGGCAGGCUAGAGUACUGGAGAGGGUAGUGGAAUUCCAUGUGUAGCGGUAAAAUGCGUAGAUAUAUGGAGGAACACCGGUGGCGAAGGCGGCUACCUAGACAGAGACUGACGCUGAGGCACGAAAGCGUGGGGAGCAAAUAGGAUUAGAUACCCUAGUAGUCCACGCUGUAAACGAUGAAUGCUAGGUAUCGGGGCGACCCGGUGCCGAAACUAACGCGAUAAGCAUUCCGCCUGUGGAGUAUGCACGCAAGUGUGAAACAUAAAGGAAUUGACGGGGGCCCGCACAAGCGGUGGAGUAUGUGGUUUAAUUCGACGCAACGCGAAGAACCUUACCAGGCCUUGACAUCCCUUGCGAAAUCCUGGAGACAGGAGGGAGGCUAUCAAGGAGACAGGUGGUGCAUGGUUGUCGUCAGCUCGUGUCGUGAGAUGUUGGGUUAAGUCCCGCAACGAGCGCAACCCUUGUCUUUAGUUACUAACAUCAAGUUGAGGACUCUAGAGAGACUGCCGGUGAUAAACCGGAGGAAGGUGGGGAUGACGUCAAAUCAUCAUGCCCCUUAUGGCCUGGGCUACACACGUACUACAAUGGCUGUUACAACGUGCAGCGACAGCGCAAGCUGAAGCGAAUCACUGAAAGACAGUCUCAGUUCGGAUUGAGGUCUGCAACCCGACCUCAUGAAGUUGGAAUCGCUAGUAAUCGCGGAUCAGCAUGCCGCGGUGAAUACGUUCUCGGGCCUUGUACUCACCGCCCGUCA